This 74-nucleotide transfer RNA is filed under the name Prochlorococcus marinus str. MIT 9202. RNAcentral describes it as "tRNA-Arg". It matches the Rfam family "tRNA". From Rfam's summary of the family: Transfer RNA (tRNA) molecules are approximately 80 nucleotides in length. Their secondary structure includes four short double-helical elements and three loops (D, anti-codon, and T loops). Further hydrogen bonds mediate the characteristic L-shaped molecular structure. tRNAs have two regions of fundamental functional importance: the anti-codon, which is responsible for specific mRNA codon recognition, and the 3' end, to which the tRNAs corresponding amino acid is attached (by aminoacyl-tRNA synthetases). tRNAs cope with the degeneracy of the genetic code in two manners: having more than one tRNA (with a specific anti-codon) for a particular amino acid; and 'wobble' base-pairing, i.e. permitting non-standard base-pairing at the 3rd anti-codon position. Lineage: Bacteria; Bacillati; Cyanobacteriota; Cyanophyceae; Synechococcales; Prochlorococcaceae. RNAcentral also lists the same sequence under 8 other names. The record is from RNAcentral.
GGGGCUGUAGCUCAGCAGGAUAGAGCAACGGUUUCCUAAACCGUAGGCCGUGGGUUCGACUCCCGCCAGUCCCG